This 497-nucleotide ribosomal RNA is filed under the name uncultured bacterium. RNAcentral's name for it is "partial 16S ribosomal RNA". It matches the Rfam family "Bacterial small subunit ribosomal RNA", at positions 28 to 507 of the family's 1533-position model. The record is from RNAcentral.
GACGAACGCUGGCGGCGUGCCUAAUACAUGCAAGUAGAACGCUGAAGAGAGGAGCUUGCUCUUCUUGGAUGAGUUGCGAACGGGUGAGUAACGCGUAGGUAACCUGCCUUGUAGCGGGGGAUAACUAUUGGAAACGAUAGCUAAUACCGCAUAACAAUGGAUGACACAUGUCAUUUAUUUGAAAGGGGCAAUUGCUCCACUACAAGAUGGACCUGCGUUGUAUUAGCUAGUAGGUGAGGUAAUGGCUCACCUAGGCGACGAUACAUAGCCGACCUGAGAGGGUGAUCGGCCACACUGGGACUGAGACACGGCCCAGACUCCGACGGGAGGCAGCCGUAGGGAAUCUUCGGCAAUGGGGGCAACACUGACCGAGCAACGCCGCGUGAGUGAAGAAGGUUUUCGGAUCGUAAAGCUCUGUUGUAAGUCAAGAACGGGUGUGAGAGUGGAAAGUUCACACUGUGACGGUAGCUUACCAGAAAGGGACGGCUAACUACGUG